UACGGAGGAUGCAAGCGUUAUCCGGAAUGAUUGGGCGUAAAGCGUCCGCAGGUGGCUGUGUAAGUCUGCUGUUAAAGAGUGAGGCUCAACCUCAUAAAAGCAGUGGAAACUACACGGCUAGGGUGCGUUCGGGGCAGAGGGAAUUCCUGGUGUAGCGGUGAAAUGCGUAGAUAUCAGGAAGAACACCGGUGGCGAAAGCGCUCUGCUAGGCCGCAACUGACACUGAGGGACGAAAGCUAGGGGAGCGAAUGGG
RNAcentral lists this ribosomal RNA (253 nucleotides) under uncultured bacterium. RNAcentral describes it as "partial 16S ribosomal RNA". It matches the Rfam family "Bacterial small subunit ribosomal RNA", at positions 524 to 776 of the family's 1533-position model. The record is from RNAcentral.